This is a long non-coding RNA of Pteropus alecto (black flying fox), 3565 nucleotides long. RefSeq lists it as uncharacterized. Lineage: Eukaryota; Metazoa; Chordata; Mammalia; Chiroptera; Pteropodidae. The record is from RefSeq and is a predicted model, not a curated record. The transcript has 5 exons.
GGAUCGCGGCGGCCAGCGUCUCGGUUUAUCGGAUAAUUUUCAGUGAGCUGGAAUGAGAGACUUGAGGGCUGCAUGGAGCACUUAGCUCUAGGAAUGUGACCAAGAUUACCACCAGGAAGGCCAAUGAUUGUUAAAUGAGAUGGAAUGCACUAAAGAACACAAAAUCUCCCUGGGAAAUACCACUAAACAGCUUGGCUCUCAACUGACAAAUGAGGGGCAUUUUCCCGAGGUGGUCACCCGUGGCCUCAACAUGGCUGAAACUUCGUUCUGUCCUCCUGCCAGGCAGUCACCUAGGGAGGCGGUUCCAACUCAUUCAUAGGCUGGCUAUGUCUUUGCUCCCAAGGAACACAGAGAACCUGGAGGGAGCACUCUUGAUACAAGCUGAAAUGCUUCUCCUGCGAUGCCAAAGCUACUAUGAAUUGUAUGUAGAAUUAGAUAAUGAAUAAGUAAUUGAAGUGGGUGUGCUGGGGGAGGGCAGAGAAGCAGAUUUCACCAAAUGUUUUUUUUUUUUUAAACUGGGAGAAAUUUAAAAUAUAUGUAAUUGAUUUUAUCACCUCACCUAUAAAUGGACUGGAGACACUUGAGGAAAGUCCCUUUUGCAGAGGUAAAGUUUUUUUCUUUAAAAUUCCGAAGGCAGACUAAAACAGCUUUGAUUGAUUGGCUUUGAUGUGCUUUUUUUUCUAAUAGUAAUCACAAGGUAUCUAUUGCAUUUAAUUGUUAUAUACGGAUUUUUCAAUUUUUAGUUAUUGCCUAAAAGUAACUUGGAUUUGCCUUCAUAGUUUAUAGAGCACGUGAAAAACUAUGAAAUUAUUUUUUAUCUUUUUAAUUUGGGAAGCCCACUGGCUAUUUAUAGAAUUUGCUCUCUGUAAAUUGAGGCAAGCUGUUAUUUUACCUGUAUGUGUUAGGAUUAGGAGAACUACUUAGUCCAAUAGCAAAACAUAAAGUGUAGCCUAACUAAUGUAGUUCUCUUAGUAUCGGGGAUAUAGUUGGGCAUUAAGAAUAGACUGAGAAAAUUUAGACAAAUACAGUAUUAUUGGUACUCUGUUUCUCUUUCAUGGCUUGCUACUCUUUGCCCACUUAAUUCUUUUCUCUUUUUAUAAAUCUAUUCUCCUCAGAACACAGGAUGGAAAAUAGAGCUGCAUAUGGUGCCCAGAUUUGUAUAUUUCAGAUUUAGACCCUGAAGACAGACCAAAUCCACCGAUCUUUAUCUGUCUCUCUCUCUCUUCCUGCCUUCCAUUCCAGGGGUGAAACCCUGUCCCAGUUAUUUUCCCAUGUAGACUGGACUUUAAAACCAGUCAUGUGAACAUAUGUGCCAUGAGGACAGAGGGACAAGGGGAGUACCAGAGAAAGAGAAAUUAUGAACUAUGGAGACAACCUGUUAGGCAUGCACUGGAGCUAAGCCUUAUUGAAUCACCUGGUGGUAGGAAACGAGAAAAGCACAGUCCUUUCCAGAUUUGUCUCUUGAGAAAUUCACUUCAACAGCAUAACCGAUAAGCACUCUUGGCAUCAGACCUGGAUCAAUUCCCUGUUCUGUUACUUAUUAGCUGUAUGAUCACUUUCUACCUUCCUGUGAUAUCAGCUCUGUAAUAGGAAUGGUAGCACUGUACCUGCUGAAUGGGGAGUCAUGAAGAUUAGAUGAAAUGAUGUCUUUGAAGUGCUUUGUCAGUAUCCCAUACAGAGAAAGUUCCCUAUAUAUGUGGAGGCUAUAAUAGUUGUCAGUAUAAAUUUUUCAACUCAAGAUGGCAAACCAGUUACUUAUAGCAAACAUGGUAGACUUUAUUUUCAGAAAUGGCCCUAGUGAAAGUUCCAACCCUACAUUCUCUUUCAGGUCAUGGUCACUCCCAACAAGAUGUGGAGUUAUUUCUCCUUUUCUUGAAAUUUGGUGGGCCUUUAUGACUACUGCAAUGAACAGAAUGCAGCAGGAGUGACACUGAGUAAUGCUGGAUCAUGCAAUACAAUAUGGCUUCCACCCAAGCUCAGUGUCAAAGGCAUGUGACCUGUGCAACCAUGCUCAAAAGGGCCCCAUGCUUCGUUUAAUGCUUUAUUGUUGCCAUCUUGAAAUUCUUAGUAAUUUUUGAACUAGAAGUCCUACGUUUGCAAUUUGCAAUGGGCUUCAUGAAUUAUGUUGCCAGUCCUGCUUCCACAUGGCUCUCUAUCUCUUGGGACAUAUCCUAAACCAAAGUGUGAGAAGACCAGCUAUGCUGAGGACAUCAUGCUGGAGAGGCAACGUGAAAAUUACUUUGGGUUAGAGAGAGAUGCGUGAGGAGUUCUAGAUGCUCCAGCCCUGAGCUAUUUGAGUCUUCUCAGCCCAGGUGGCAGAUAUGGGAAUGACAAAUCUUCAGAUGAUUCAUAACCCAAACUUUAAGUCACUCAGCUGACAUUGAGUAGAACAGAAACGAGCUGUUCUGAUGAGCAAAAUAAAUGUUAUUGUCUUAAGCUGGUAGGUUAUUGAGUCAUAGGUAACAGGAACAAAACUAUUUCUGAGAAUAGCAUUGAGAAUGGUUGUCUCCUUAGUUUAUAAUUUCCCUUUCUAGUUAUUAGAGAGGGAAUGAUCAGUUUUUCUAAUCUGGAGCACAUUAACACAUACUAAUGUUAAUAUUACAUGAAACAUCAUUUUAUUUUCAUCUUAAAAAGUUUUCAGGAUUUUUUGUAUCACAAUAUUACCAUAUUAUUGGCAGUAGUUUAUGUUGUUCUAUGAAUAUGAAGAAGUAAUCUAGCAAGGGCAAUGCAAUAUAUUAAAAACUAAAAAUCACAAAUGCUUAGAAUCACAGAAAAAUAAGUAUAAUGAAUAUAAUGCUAAAUGUAGCUGUCAUUUUUUUAAUUUAAUUUAAAUCAUUUUGAGUGUUCAUUAUGUAUUGGGCAUUGCACUGGGUGCCAGAGAUCAAAAGGUCACGGAGGUUACAGGUAGGUGUGGGUAAGGGACAGAUAGUAAACAAAUACACAUGAGUGCAUUUAUUAAUACAAAUAAUAUUAUGUGCUAUGAAAAAGAAAUCAAUGGGGAAACAACUGAGAGAGAACAUUCAGAAAAGGCCAUGUGAAUGAAAUGAAAAGGAGCCGGUCAUGUGAAUGCUGGGAGAGGCGUGUCCUUAGCAGAGACCAGUCUUCAAAGACCGUCAGAUCAAAAAGGACUUCACAUUUUUCUGUGCCAGGAACUGUAAUAAAGGAGUCUUUUUGUAAUUAGUGGGAAGUUCGGAUAUGAAGGCCUAGAAAAACAUCAAGAAAAUCUGAGGAAAUUUAUUUAUCUUUUCAAGAAAAUCAGGCAUAGGACUUUGUAUUAUGGUUACCAGUCUUUCCUUUUCCUUUGUUUUUCCUCUCAAUUUUUUUUUUAUAGCUGUCGUCUAUGAGACUUAUUUUUUUCUUAAUUCUAGAUAUUUUUAAAGAGAUAAUCUUGGAUACUAGAGAGAAAAAACAUUGUGAUUUUGGGUAAAUACAAGAAAAGCAUGUCAUUGAUUAAUUGAGAUUGUUCUGUAAAGUAAUAUUUCAGUAGUCUAGCAUUCACUGAAACCCAAGCUAUGAAACAUUCUUUUAGAGUUGGUUUAUUUGUUCAGUCAAUAAAUAUAUUAUG